UACAGGGGGUGCAAACGGUGCUCGGAAUCAUUGGGCGUAAAGCGCGCGUAGGCGGUUACUCAAGUCGGAUGUGAAAGCCCUCGGCUUAACUGAGGAAGUGCACCCGAAACUGAGUAGCUAGAGUACUAAAGAGGGUCGCGGAAUUCCCGGUGUAGAGGUGAAAUUCGUAGAUAUCGGGAGGAACACCGGUGGCGAAGGCGGCGACCUGGGCAGAUACUGACGCUGAGGCGCGAAAGCGUGGGGAGCAAACAGG
This 253-nucleotide ribosomal RNA is filed under the name uncultured bacterium. Its description in RNAcentral is "partial 16S ribosomal RNA". It matches the Rfam family "Bacterial small subunit ribosomal RNA", at positions 524 to 776 of the family's 1533-position model. The record is from RNAcentral.